GGGCCCAUAGCUCAGCUGGGAGAGCGCCUGCUUCGCAUGUAGGAGGUCAGCGGUUCGAUCCCGCUUGGGUCCAC
RNAcentral lists this transfer RNA (74 nucleotides) under Chlorobi bacterium OLB6. Its description in RNAcentral is "tRNA-Ala". It matches the Rfam family "tRNA". From Rfam's summary of the family: Transfer RNA (tRNA) molecules are approximately 80 nucleotides in length. Their secondary structure includes four short double-helical elements and three loops (D, anti-codon, and T loops). The record is from RNAcentral. Lineage: Bacteria; Pseudomonadati; Chlorobiota.